Molecule: transfer RNA, 72 nt
Filed under: Bacteriovorax sp. BSW11_IV
Lineage: Bacteria; Pseudomonadati; Bdellovibrionota; Bacteriovoracia; Bacteriovoracales; Bacteriovoracaceae
Rfam family: tRNA
About the family: Transfer RNA (tRNA) molecules are approximately 80 nucleotides in length. Their secondary structure includes four short double-helical elements and three loops (D, anti-codon, and T loops).
Source: Rfam by way of RNAcentral
UGGGGUGUGGCGCAGCGGUAGCGCAGCGGACUGUUAAUCCGUUGGUCGCCGGUUCGAAUCCGGCCACCCCAG